RNAcentral lists this ribosomal RNA (382 nucleotides) under uncultured bacterium. RNAcentral's name for it is "bacterial SSU rRNA". It matches the Rfam family "Bacterial small subunit ribosomal RNA", at positions 28 to 412 of the family's 1533-position model. The record is from RNAcentral.
GACGAACGCUGGCGGCGUGCUUAACACAUGCAAGUCGAGCGGUAAGGCCCUUUCGGGGGUACACGAGCGGCGAACGGGUGAGUAACACGUGGGUGACCUGCCCUCAGCUCUGGGAUAAGCCUGGGAAACCGGGUCUAAUACCGGAUAUGACUCCAUGACGCACGUUGUGGGGUGGAAAGCCUUGUGCGGCUGAGGAUGGGCCCGCGGCCUAUCAGCUUGUUGGUGGGGUGAUGGCCACCAAGGCGACGACGGGUAGCCGGCCUGAGAGGGCGACCGGCCACACUGGGACUGAGACACGGCCCAGACUCCUACGGGAGGCAGCAGUGGGGAAUCUUGCGCAAUGGGCGAAAGCCUGACGCAGCGACGCCGCGUGAGGGAUGAC